AGAGUUUGAUCCUGGCUCAGGACGAACGCUGGCGGCGUGCUUAACACAUGCAAGUCGAACGGAAAGGCCCCCACCUUGGUGGGGGUGCUCGAGUGGCGAACGGGUGAGUAACACGUGGGUGAUCUGCCCUGUACUUCGGGAUAAGCUUGGGAAACUGGGUCUAAUACCGGAUAGGACCAUGGUUUAGUGUCUCAUGGUGGAAAAAUUAUUGUUUUGGUGCAGGAUGAGCUCGCGGCCUAUCAGCUUGUUGGUGGGGUAAUGGCCUACCAAGGCGUCGACGGGUAGCCGGCCUGAGAGGGUGGACGGCCACAUUGGGACUGAGAUACGGCCCAGACUCCUACGGGAGGCAGCAGUGGGGAAUAUUGCACAAUGGGCGCAAGCCUGAUGCAGCGACGCCGCGUGGGGGAUGACGGCCUUCGGGUUGUAAACUCCUUUCGUUAGGGACGAAGCCACACCUUUUUUGGGUGUGGUGACGGUACCUUUGUUAAGAAGCACCGGCUAACUACGUGCCAGCAGCCGCGGUAAUACGUAGGGUGCGAGCGUUGUCCGGAAUUACUGGGCGUAAAGAGCUCGUAGGUGGUUUGUUGCGUCGUCUGUGAAAUUCCGGGGCUUAACUUCGGGGUGGCAGGCGAUACGGGCAUAACUAGAGUGCUGUAGGGGAGACUGGAAUUCCUGGUGUAGCGGUGGAAUGCGCAGAUAUCAGGAGGAACACCGAUGGCGAAGGCAGGUCUCUGGGCAGUAACUGACGCUGAGGAGCGAAAGCAUGGGGAGCGAACAGGAUUAGAUACCCUGGUAGUCCAUGCUGUAAACGGUGGGCGUUAGGUGUGGGGACCGGUUUGGUUUCUGUGCCGUAGCUAACGCAUUAAGCGCCCCGCCUGGGGAGUACGGCCGCAAGGCUAAAACUCAAAGGAAUUGACGGGGGCCCGCACAAGCGGCGGAGCAUGUGGAUUAAUUCGAUGCAACGCGAAGAACCUUACCUGGGUUUGACAUGCACCAGACGGUUGUAGAGAUACGUACCUCCCUUUGUGGUUGGUGUGCAGGUGGUGCAUGGUUGUCGUCAGCUCGUGUCGUGAGAUGUUGGGUUAAGUCCCGCAACGAGCGCAACCCUUGUCUUAUGUUGCCAGCACUUUGGGUGGGGACUCAUGAGAGACUGCCGGGGUUAACUCGGAGGAAGGUGGGGAUGACGUCAAAUCAUCAUGCCCUUUAUGCCCAGGGCUUCACACAUGCUACAAUGGUUAGUACAACGCGCGGCAAACCUGUGAGGGUGAGCGAAUCGCUGAAAGCUAAUCUCAGUUCGGAUUGGGGUCUGCAACUCGACCCCAUGAAGUCGGAGUCGCUAGUAAUCGCAGAUCAGCAAUGCUGCGGUGAAUACGUUCCCGGGCCUUGUACACACCGCCCGUCACGUCAUGAAAGUUGGUAACACCCGAAGCCCAUGGCCUAACCACCGUUUGGUGGGGGGAGUGGUCGAAGGUGGGAUUGGCGAUUGGGACGAAGUCGUAACAAGGUAGCCGUACCGGAAGGUGCGGCUGGAUCACCU
This 1537-nucleotide ribosomal RNA is filed under the name Corynebacterium matruchotii ATCC 33806. RNAcentral's name for it is "bacterial SSU rRNA". It matches the Rfam family "Bacterial small subunit ribosomal RNA". Lineage: Bacteria; Bacillati; Actinomycetota; Actinomycetes; Mycobacteriales; Corynebacteriaceae. The record is from RNAcentral.